CUGAUUGGGAUACUCUUCAAAUUUUUAUGAAAUGCCGAGACUAGUAUAUUGGUCAAUGGCGGGCCUCAACCCUUUCGGGUGUCUUCGCGACCAGAGGAUUACAAAGACUGGUAUACCCUCAAAUCCUGUAUUUAUCGGAGUUUCAUCACAUCCCUUUGAUGUGGCUUUU
RNAcentral lists this small RNA (169 nucleotides) under bovine gut metagenome. RNAcentral's name for it is "Bacteroidales-1 6S-Bacteroidales RNA suggested". It matches the Rfam family "Bacteroidales-1 6S-Bacteroidales RNA suggested". The record is from RNAcentral.